UACGGAGGGUGCAAGCGUUGUCCGGAAUUACUGGGCGUAAAGGGCGCGUAGGCGGCCACCGCAAGUCGAUUGUGAAAUCUCCGGGCUUAACCCGGAAAGGUCAACCGAUACUGCGGGGCUAGAGUGCGGAAGGGGCAACUGGAAUUCUUGGUGUAGCGGUGAAAUGCGUAGAUAUCAAGAGGAACACCUGCGGCGAAGGCGGGUUGCUGGGCCGACACUGACGCUGAUGCGCGAAAGCUAGGGGAGCGAACGGG
This 254-nucleotide ribosomal RNA is filed under the name uncultured bacterium. RNAcentral's name for it is "partial 16S ribosomal RNA". It matches the Rfam family "Bacterial small subunit ribosomal RNA", at positions 524 to 776 of the family's 1533-position model. The record is from RNAcentral.